Molecule: ribosomal RNA, 469 nt
Filed under: uncultured bacterium
Lineage: Bacteria
Description: partial 16S ribosomal RNA
Rfam family: Bacterial small subunit ribosomal RNA
Source: RNAcentral
GAUGAACGCUGGCGGCGUGCUUAACACAUGCAAGUCGAACGGUGAACCCGGAGCUUGCUCUGUGGGAUCAGUGGCGAACGGGUGAGUAACACGUGAGCAACCUGCCCCUGACUCUGGGAUAAGCGCUGGAAACGGCGUCUAAUACUGGAUAUGUGACGUGACCGCAUGGUCUGCGUUUGGAAAGAUUUUUCGGUUGGGGAUGGGCUCGCGGCCUAUCAGCUUGUUGGUGAGGUAAUGGCUCACCAAGGCGUCGACGGGUAGCCGGCCUGAGAGGGUGACCGGCCACACUGGGACUGAGAAACGGCCCAGACUCCUACGGGAGGCAGCAGUGGGGAAUAUUGCACAAUGGGCGCAAGCCUGAUGCAGCAACGCCGCGUGAGGGAUGACGGCCUUCGGGUUGUAAACCUCUUUUAGCAGGGAAGAAGCGAAAGUGACGGUACCUGCAGAAAAAGCGCCGGCUAACUACGUG